UGGGGAAUUUUGGACAAUGGGCGCAAGCCUGAUCCAGCAAUGCCGCGUGAGUGAAGAAGGCCUUCGGGUUGUAAAGCUCUUUUGUCAGGGAAGAAACGGCUGCGGCUAAUAUCUGCGGCUAAUGACGGUACCUGAAGAAUAAGCACCGGCUAACUACGUGCCAGCAGCCGCGGUAAUACGUAGGGUGCAAGCGUUAAUCGGAAUUACUGGGCGUAAAGCGUGCGCAGGCGGUUUUGUAAGUCUGUCGUGAAAGCCCCGGGCUCAACCUGGGAAUUGCGAUGGAGACUGCAAGGCUUGAAUCUGGCAGAGGGGGGUAGAAUUCCACGUGUAGCAGUGAAAUGCGUAGAGAUGUGGAGGAACACCGAUGGCGAAGGCAGCCCCCUGGGUCAAGAUUGACGCUCAUGCACGAAAGCGUGGGGAGCAAACAGGAUUAGAUACCCUGGUAGUCCACGCCCUAAACGAUGUCUACUAGUUGUCGGGUUUUUAAAUUAACUUGGUAACGCAGCUAACGCGUGAAGUAGACCGCCUGGGGAGUACGGUCGCAAGAUUAAAACUCAAAUGAAUUGACGGGGGUCAUAGCUG
Molecule: ribosomal RNA, 582 nt
Filed under: uncultured bacterium
Lineage: Bacteria
Description: partial 16S ribosomal RNA
Rfam family: Bacterial small subunit ribosomal RNA
Source: RNAcentral